UGAACGCUGGCGGCGUGCUUAACACAUGCAAGUCGAACGAUGAAGCCCAGCUUGCUGGGUGGAUUAGUGGCGAACGGGUGAGUAACACGUGAGCAACCUGCCCCUGACUCUGGGAUAAGCGCUGGAAACGGCGUCUAAUACUGGAUAUGUCCCGUCACCGCAUGGUGUGCGGGUGGAAAGAUUUUUCGGUUGGGGAUGGGCUCGCGGCCUAUCAGCUUGUUGGUGAGGUAAUGGCUCACCAAGGCGUCGACGGGUAGCCGGCCUGAGAGGGUGACCGGCCACACUGGGACUGAGACACGGCCCAGACUCCUACGGGAGGCAGCAGUGGGGAAUAUUGCACAAUGGGCGAAAGCCUGAUGCAGCAACGCCGCGUGAGGGAUGACGGCCUUCGGGUUGUAAACCUCUUUUAGCAGGGAAGAAGCGAGAGUGACGGUACCUGCAGAAAAAGCACCGGCUAACUAC
Molecule: ribosomal RNA, 462 nt
Filed under: uncultured bacterium
Lineage: Bacteria
Description: bacterial SSU rRNA
Rfam family: Bacterial small subunit ribosomal RNA
Source: RNAcentral